RNAcentral lists this non-coding RNA (70 nucleotides) under unclassified sequences. RNAcentral describes it as "potC RNA". It matches the Rfam family "potC RNA". The record is from RNAcentral.
UAGAUGGUGCUCACGUCACUCUCCCUAGGAUCUUUACCCUUUCCUAGAUAAAUGUCGUGGGCACUAAAAA